This 433-nucleotide ribosomal RNA is filed under the name uncultured bacterium. RNAcentral describes it as "partial 16S ribosomal RNA". It matches the Rfam family "Bacterial small subunit ribosomal RNA", at positions 29 to 507 of the family's 1533-position model. The record is from RNAcentral.
AGCGAACGCUGGCGGCAGGCCUAACACAUGCAAGUCGAACGGAUCCUUCGUGAUUAGUGGCGGACGGGUGAGUAACACGUGGGAACGUGCCCUUUGGUUCGGAACAACUCAGGGAAACUUGAGCUAAUACCGGAUGUGCCCUUCGGGGGAAAGAUUUAUCGCCAUUGGAGCGGCCCGCGUCUGAUUAGCUAGUUGGUGAGGUAACGGCCCACCAAGGCGACGAUCAGUAGCUGGUCUGAGAGGAUGAUCAGCCACACUGGGACUGAGACACGGCCCAGACUCCUACGGGAGGCAGCAGUGGGGAAUCUUGCGCAAUGGGCGAAAGCCUGACGCAGCCAUGCCGCGUGAAUGAGGAAGGUCUUAGGAUUGUAAAAUUCUUUCAGCGGGGACGAUAAUGACGGUACCCGCAGAAGAAGCUCCGGCUAACUUCGUG